RNAcentral lists this unclassified non-coding RNA (338 nucleotides) under soil metagenome. RNAcentral's name for it is "partial contains 5.8S ribosomal RNA, internal transcribed spacer 2, and large subunit ribosomal RNA". The stretch from base 1 to 120 matches the Rfam family "5.8S ribosomal RNA", at positions 35 to 154 of the family's 154-position model. The record is from RNAcentral.
GAUGAAGAACGUAGCGAAAUGCGAUAAGUAGUGUGAAUUGCAGAAUUCAGUGAAUCAUCGAAUCUUUGAACGCACAUUGCGCCCUUUGGUAUUCCUUAGGGCAUGCCUGUUCGAGCGUCAUUUAAACCUUCAAGCUCAGCUUGGUGUUGGGUGACUGUCCGCCGCCUCCGGGCGGUCGGACUCGCCUCAAAUUGAUUGGCGGCCGGUACUUUGGCUUCGAGCGCAGCAGAAACGCGAACUCGAGGCCGUCGUCCUGGCUCCCAGAAGCUAUCUUCACAAUUUUGACCUCGGAUCAGGUAGGGAUACCCGCUGAACUUAAGCAUAUCAAAAGCGGAGGA